RNAcentral lists this long non-coding RNA (35523 nucleotides) under Sorghum bicolor (sorghum). Its description in RNAcentral is "long non-coding RNA (SBIC_LNC008899)". The stretch from base 3635 to 3741 matches the Rfam family "Plant small nucleolar RNA R71". Lineage: Eukaryota; Viridiplantae; Streptophyta; Magnoliopsida; Poales; Poaceae. The record is from RNAcentral.
GGGUUUUUGCAGAUUUUCAAAUAAAACUCAGAGAUUCCUUGUAUGACUCUCUUAGAUCUCUCUUUUGUGGUAUUUCUGGAUCCUUACCAAGGCAGUGAUGGUAUAUGCCUUCUAUCAAGAUAUGUGGUAUUUAUGGUAUAUAGCAUAAUGACAUUGCCUUCUCUCUCUCACCCUACUCUAAUAAGGCUUUAAUAUCUGGAGCUCAUAGGUGGGAGAUAAAGUAUACAUACUUACAAGACAUUUAUUGCAUAGUCAAACCAUGGAUCCAAAGAAACAAAUCAAUAAGCCAAAUCAAGAUGUGCAUGUGUGGCGAAUGAAUGGUGUAUGGUGAUAACAAUGGUGGUGGAAGUCUAAUUCUACUUUGCUCUUUGAGGGAAUACAUACCUUCCUUGCUUUUGAAACUUUAUGAGGAGAAUGAGAUGCUCUUCUUUUUCUUUUCUUUUCUCUCAGGUGGGUAUCUUGUACCCCUAAUUCUACUGUCGGACACUUGUCCAUUUUUACCUCUCGUCUCACUUUUUUCUUUAUUUCGAGGUUCCGAGCACUUGCUCCUUUUUAUUUCCUCGUAUUAUUAUUUUUUUAUAAGCACUCAUCUCUUGAGAUAAUAUAGCAAGUGGUAGUAAGAAGAUAACUUGAGCAUUUAUUUCAUAAAGGAAAAAACAGGAAUAUUUUUGGUUAUUCUCUCCCAAAUUAGGAGUAGAAUAUUUUUGGGUGAUUCUAGAGAUGGAAUUGGAUGGAUAUAUGUGGAUGGUACUUCCGGAGUAGAAGUAGCAUAUAUGAGUGAACGUGCAAGUGAAUCUUGAUUUAACCACAUGACAAGCUCCUAAGGGUCUACACAGCUUGACCACACUCAAUGCUCAUAAGUAGUAAAUAUUAAAUGUGUGGCUCAAAGUCUAGCAAGCAUGUAUAUAUGGCUGUGGUAGGAAUUUAAACUCUCAUUAUAUAGGAACUCAUCAUGCAACAUUUUAAAGAUUUUCAAAGAUAAAAUUCUCCAGAAUUCUAGCAUCUCUAGGAACAGAUAAAUAACAGCUCAACCUUCCCAUAUCGUAUCCGUUAACAACUUAGACUUCAGAUCAUGUUUUCAUCCCACAAGUUUAGAUCUAGAGCAAGCUUUAAAUUAUAACAGUUAUGUCUAAACUUGAGAGAGAACUUAAAAUGUGCAAAUUAGGCAGAGCAACUAUUCAUCAUAUCCAUGCUUAAGUUUUAUUUACAUACAGAUUAGCAUAGCCACUUUAUUGAUUUAUUAAAAACACUAAGCAAAAGACAUAUAUAUAUAUAUAUAAGCACAAACUCUUUAUUUGGUUUUCCAUAGUUUAUGUGUAUUUAUAUUCUGAAAUAAUAUAAGUAUAAAGAAAGAUAGAAAUACUUAUCGAGAUAAAUGGGGGUGCUCUCCCCCAAGCUGAAUUUUGACGUAAUUUCCCUUGAUGUAGCUAGCAGGUGGCAGAGGUGUAUUUGAAAGUCAGCUGCAUUCUGACAGCGAUUAGAAUGUCCUCCGUCUGCCAGUCUUCUUGAUUCUUAAAUUCUGUGGAGUUCAAAUAGACAACAAAGCUUGUGGAACUCUUGGCAAGGCGUUCGGUGUUUUUAAGUCCUCCGAACGGGACCCUCCAUUUUCUUAAUCGUCCUGAGGUUCGUUGGGUGGCGUAGUCGGUACUUCUGGCAGCGCCUCCUCUUCAUGUAUAGUUAUCUUCAUUUUCCACACCUGACUUGGUGUUUCCGUCUCCUCUGGAUAAUUCUGUUUAAACUCUACGUCUUCUGACCUUACAACUUCUCCUUCAUAGUCUGCCCAUCCGUCCUUGAUGAUCUGCCUCCUCUGGCUGCGGUUGCGUCGCUUUCUUACCUACUUAGAUUCUUCAACGAUAUAGUUAGGGUCAGUAAAAUAACGGCAUACCUUCUCUGAGGGGAAGUGCAUAUGGACUUCUCCGGUUCCAAUAUAGAUAAUUGCUUUAACGGUGCUGAGGAACGGUCUUCCAAGGAUGAUGGGUGGAUCAUACUCGUCUUCUCCCAUGUCAAUAACUUGAAAGUCUGUGUAGACAAAAUGAUCGUCUAUUUUGACUGGGACAUCAGUUACUAUUCCUUUGACUUCUCGAAAUGUCUGAUCUGCCAUCUGGAGUUGAAUGUAUGUUGGUCUUAGUGGCAUGGUUCCGAACAAGAGCCGAUAGGUGACUGCGGCCAUUAUGUUGACGCCUGAUCCGGUGUCGCAAAUCGUCUUGUAGAAGCUAUAUCCAUUUAUGGAGCAGUAGAUUGUUGGCAUUCCUGGGUUGUCCUUCUUGGUCAAAAACGGUGACUUAAGUUGUUGAUCUUGACCUCCAUGAACUGCAGUGACCAUCUUAGCUGACUCGGUCCACACUUGCUUGUUCCUGUAUCUCCUGUUGGUCCUCUUCCUUGAUUCACGUCUGGAUUGAUUUGGAAUUUGUGUAGUCUUAUUCUUGAAGAAAAAUGUCUCCUUCCUCCCUUUGACGUAGAAACUGAUCUUGGCAGCACUAGCAUAGAUGAUAGCUCCCGUGGUGUUCAAGAAUGGCCUCCCUAAGAUGAUGGGUGCUCUCUCAUCAUUUCCGGUCUCUAUCACUACGAAGUCUGCUAGAGCAUAUAAGGUACCAACACGGACGCAAAGGUUCUUCAAUAUUCCCUUUGGAAAAGUUAUCGUCUGAUCUGCAAACUGCAAACACAUGGUUGUCUCUAAUAAAGGAUAUGUAAAGAUUUUUUCAUAGAGUACCCUAGGUAUAAUGUUGACGCUAGAGCCAAAGUCGCAGAGUGCUUCUAGAACGUCCACCAUGCCAAUGGAGAUCGGGAUGACGGGGCGUCCUGGAUCGACUCUCUUGACCGGCAGAAGGUCAGUAGAGAAUUCAGUGACAGGGUUACUCCAAUUAUUACCUGCAUCAAAAUGUCUACAAGAUUUGCAGAUUCUAAUCCUUCUGGUUGUGAUGGUAUACCGGGGUUAGUAGUAGUUACAGCAGCAGCUAUUUGAUUUAACUGAGAUUCAAUCAUUUUAUUAAAGCUAAUUUGAUUCUUGAUGGCAGUAGAGAAAUUAUCCAAUCUAUUAUUUAUAUUUUCUAGCAUUUUAUCAUUAGAUGCCAAUUUCUUAGAUAGGUUAUCUAUUAGCUUUCCUUGAUUAGACACUAACUCUCUCAAAGGUGGAAAAUUAUUAUUAUUGUUGUAAGAAUUGUUACCUUGAUAAUUACCUGAGUAGUUAGGCGUCUGUUGAUUCCAACCUUGAUUUUGUUGAGGACGGUUGUAGUAGUAGUAGUUGUUGUUGUUGAUGUAGUUCACAUCCUCAAGUAUCUCGGGGCAGUGGUUGCCUGAGUGUCCAGUAUCUCCACACUCCUCACAAGUCAUGUGAGAGUUGUAGAUGUGCAUAACUUCUUUCUUGUCUCUGGCUCUAUCGUCGAGCUUCUUCAUGAGCAGGUCUAGCUUUGCAGACAGCAUGUCUACCUCCUUCAGCUGAUGCAUACCUCCACCUCUCUUGCGUGUCUGGGUCCUCUCUUCAUUCCAGCUUUGGUUGGACGCCAUCUUCUCCACAAGAGCUGUGGCUUGUGGUAUAGUAAGUGAUAAGAAUGCUCCUCCAGCUGCAGCAUCCAUGGUCUCUCGGGCACUGUUGCCGAGCCCAUGAUGAAACGUCUGCAUUAGUAGCCAACUCUCCAUUCCAUGAUGGGGACAUUCUAGGAUGUAGUCUUGAAAGCCCUCCCAUGCUUCUAGAACAGAUUCAUCAUUUUGUUGCUGAAAACUUGUAAUCUUCCCCCGGAGAGCAUUAGUCUUGCCCAUGGGAAAGAACUUAGCCAGGAAGUUUGUUGAGCAGAGUGCCCACGUAGUAUUAUUCUCCUUUGUAGCGUAGAACCACUGCUUCACUCUUCCUAACAGUGAGAAUGGGAAGAGGCGAAGUAGUAUAGCAUCUUUGGAAACUCCUGAUAUGGUGAAUGUGUUGCAAAUCUCCAGGAAGUGUUGUAAAUGAGCACUAGCAUCUUCGUGUACCUUCCCACAGAACUGGUUGGAUUGCACCAUGUUGAUAAGUCCAGGCUUGAGCUCAAAGUUGCCAUCGAUCUUUGCAGCAGGUCCAGUGCGGAUGUUGUCCGUAGUGGGAGCUGAGAACUCGCGGAUUGAUUUGUUCGCCAUGGCUUCGAACUCUGAAGACAAGUUCCGGUGAUCUUCUUGAUUGGAUGAAGCUUCUUGCUGAAGUGUUGAUGAUCUCUUCUUGAGCUUUGCUCUCGUCUUCUUGAAUAAUGCUUCAGGAUUGACAACAAAAUCUCCUGGAAGAUGUCUUCUAUUCAUACAUUCCCCUGCAUAAGAUAAAAUAGAAAAAUAUCGGGGUAAAACUGUAUGAGAGAAUAGAUAAGCUCAAUCAUAUUAGUGAUGCGAAUGAUAACUCAAAAUCUUUUAUUCUAUUCCUGAUUAUUAAUCAACCUUCCCCGGCAACGGCGCCAAAAAUGCUUGUUGGGUAUUCUUAACAUCAUUACCAAAAGUAGACUAAGUUCUCUAAAUCUAGUAACGGUGCCAAAAAUGCCAAACCUAUCCCUCACACCACUUAAGCCAAGUUGUCAUCCCUAGCAUGAUAUAAGAGAUGCGGUAUUGAAAUAUGCAAUUGCUCCUCUAAAUAAAUAAUGAAUGGGAUCUGCAAGCGCACAGAUUAAUACCGAUGUAGCAUUUUAACCGGGAAGUAUUCCAGGUAUCGUUAUUUAUAUUUUUACCACUGGGAAGGGAUUACCAAUCAUCACUAUUGAUUACAGAAUAGAAUAUGAGAUUGAGCAUCUAUCAUUACAUGUAUAAUUGAGAACAUUUAUCUAACUCUUCAUACAGGGAUAAGUGUCACAUAAAAGAUAUAUGAAAUAAUAAUAGUGACAAGGAUAACUAAUCUGAUCUAGCCACAUAAUAAAUAUGAUAAGCACCUCAAUUAGAUACUCUAGAAAGUCAUUAGCAUGGUAUUAGAACGAACUACAAGAAUAUUCCCUAAGUUAUUCUCAACUAUAUAGUCUAGCAUUAUCAUAAUUAGUGCAAGCAUACUUAGCAAUCAUUGUGAGACAAGACUACGCCCAUGCAUAGUGAUAUUAGCAAGGUAAAUGAGAAACAUAGCAAUCACUCCCCUGUAAUAAUGUUGCUCUGUCACCCCAAUACACGAGAGGGGGACUAUAUAAGAAUCAAUGAAGCUGUCACUAUCACGAACCACCCCACGAUCUGGCAUAUUGGGUACAAUCGCAGAUAAAUACGGUAUAAGCACCACGCCUACACAAUAUCUAUCAUUUACCCAUGGAUCCGAUGGAUAAACGCUAUACGAUCCUAAGCAUGUAUAUAGAUCCAAUCUAACUAAGCCAAGUACAUAACUAUGAUAAACUAAGAACAAUAUAAUCUUGAAUAUAAGCAAGUAGAGCAAAGUCAUAAGCAAUAUAUUGAAAUAGAACAAAGUCAUAUUCAUAAUAUUGAAGAACAAAGAUAAUUAGAAAGUAAUUAGAAGCACAAUUAGAGAAUUACCAAGAAUCCUCUUCACAGAUCCAGAAACCAAUCGAAGAUUGACUCCUUCUAGUUCUAAUCCUAUGUAGCUAUGCUAAUCUAGAUAUCUAAUUGAUGUGGUGGCUCUAAUCUUGAUCAGAGGCUUCUUCUCCCUUGAAGAACAAUGAAUUAGGGUUGAGAGGCUCUCUCCUCUAGGGGCCAGGGGGUCUGGUUUUAUAGUCCCUUCAAGUGAAUAUGGGCCGUUGGAUCAAACCGACAUAGAUUGUAUGGUUUAGAUUCAUCCUUUAGGUCGGUGCAAAUCUCCCGCAAAGCAGAGUCCUGAUUGGACUCAGGAGGUGGGCGGGCGCCCAGGGUCAGGCCCCGUUUCGCCUCCGCUUCGGUCUCGUGGCUUCUGGAGUCUUCUAGAUGUAAGAUAAUUGCGCGGUACGUUAAUAUCUGUAUGUAAUCCCGACGUGUGGGCCUUUCUUUCGUAUUUCCUGAUAACCCCCUGCAGAAAUAGACAAACACCAAAACUCGUGGAAUUCUGUCAGAUAAAACCCUAAGUCUGGAUCUUGAUUUCAUUUGGAUCCUUUUCUUUAUUUAUUUGAUAAUUAAAUUUGAUACUUAAGGACCGUCAACAGGGUGUUACAGCCCUCCCCCCUUACAAAAAUCUCGUCCCGAGAUUUGAAAGCUUACUGAUUUUCGAAGAAUGUUUUGUAAACUUCUUUUAAAUAAUCCUCCGUCUCCCAAGUGGCAUCUUCCUCCCCGUGGUUACUCCACAACACCUUGUAGAGCUUAACCACACGAUUACGAGUCACCCGUUCCUUGCGGUCAAGAACCGCUAUAGGUGUUUCUUCAUACACCAAGUCUGACUUCAACUUUAUAUCUUGAACUUCCACUCAUUCCUCCGGUACACGAAGGCACUUCUUUAAUUGUGAUACGUGAAAGACAGGGAAAAUAGCUCAAAGCACAACUGGGAGUUGAACUUUGUACGCCACAUUCCCUUUCUUUUCGAGAAUCCGAUAAGGUCCCACAUAACGAGGUGCAAGCUUUCGCUUGACUCCGAACCUUUGUACACACUUCAUCGGAGACACCUUGAUAUACACAUGGUCGCCAACUGAAAACUCAAUCGGCUUCCUUCUUUUGUCGGCAUAACUUUUCUGAUGAGCUUGAGCAGCUUCCAGAUGUUGCUGGAUGGUACGGAUUUGCUGCUCUGCUUCGUUCACGAAAUCGAUGCCAUAAUACCUUCGCUCUCCGGCUUCUACCCAAUUCAACGGGGUUCGACACUUUCGAACGUACAGGGCUUCAAAUGGAGCCAUCUUGAUACUCUCCUGAUAACUAUUGUUGUAGGAGAACUCAGCUAAUGGCAACCACUUAACCCAAGAACCUUUUGAAGAGAGAGCACAUGCCCUUAACAUGUCUUCUAGGAUUUGGUUAACCCGUUCAGUUUGACCAGCCGUUUGGGGAUGAUAGGCAGAGCUACGGACUAAAUGAGUACCAAUCUGCUCGUGCAGACAUUCCCAAAAACGAGCAGUGAACUGUGGUCCAUGAUCUGAUACAAUAGUUCGAGGCACACCAUACUGACGGACAAUGUGCUCGAAAUACAAUUCUGCAUAUUGAUGUGGACGAUAGUCAGUUCGAACUGGAAUAAAUCGAGCAACCUUGGUCAAACGAUCUACAAUCACCCAGAUAGAGUCGUAACCCUUAACAGAAGUUGGGAGUCCAACGAUGAAAUCCAUGCUGACUUCUUCCCAUUUCCAACCUGGAAUUGACAAGGGUUGAAGCAAACCAGCUUUCAUGUGAACAGCCUUCACACGACAACAAUUGUCACAACGAGCGACAAAAGCAGCAAUCUCCUUUUUCAUCUUUGUCCACCAAAACAAAGGUUUCAGAUCCUGAUACAUCUUGCUACUACCAGGAUGGAUAGACAAUUUGGAUGAAUGAGCUUCAGACAAUAUCUGAUUUCGCAGCUCACGGUCUUUUGGGACCACUAGUCGGUCUUUGAACCAAAGAAUUCCGUUCUCAUCGACCCGGAAAUGCUUGGUUUCUUCUUCCUUCAUUUUCCUCUUUAUAUGGUGGAUACCUACAUCUGUUUGCUGCAAUUCGAUGACUCGAUUGCGAAGAGUACUCUCCAGAGAAAUCUAUUGGAGCACAAGUGGAUGCAUAAGAUGAGACAACAACAGUUCUUCCACUUGGAUUGAGUGACAGUGCGCUUUCCGACUCAAGGCAUCCGCCACCACGUUCGCCUUUCCUGGAUGAUAGUGCACUUGUAGAUUAUAAUCUUUAAUCAACUCAAGCCACCUUCGCUGCCGCAUGUUCAGUUCAGGUUGAGUGAAGAUAUACUUGAGGCUCUUAUGAUCGGUGUAGAUAUUACACAGAUUACCCAGCAAAUAAUGCCUCUAGAUUUUCAAAGCAUGAACAACUGCUGCCAAUUCUAAGUCAUGAGUAGGGUAAUUGACCUCAUGCUUUCGAAGUUGGCGCGAGGCAUACGCGAUAACGCGACCUUCCUGCAUCAACACGCAGCCUAGACCGAUGCCUGACGCGUCACAAAAGACAUCGAAGGGCUUUUCGACAUCAGGUUGAGCUAGGACCGGAGCUGAUGUCAGUAAUGUCCUCAACUUGUGGAAUGCCUCUUCACAUUCAGGCGUCCAUACAAACUUCUCAUCCUUCUGAAGUAGCCGAGUCAUAGGCUUGGAUAUUUUUGAGAAUUCGGGAAUGAAUCGACGAUAAUAUCCAGCCAGACCAAGAAAACUCCAAACCUCGUGUACCGAAGUUGGAACUUUCCAAUCCAGCACUUCUUGCACCUUGGCUGGGUCCACCAAUAUGCCUUCUUCAGAUAAGACAUGGCCCAAGAAAGGUACUUUCUUCAGCCAAAACUCGCAUUUGCUAAACUUGGCAUAAAGCUGAUGUUCGUGCAAACGUGACAACACUAUACGCAGAUGCUCUGCAUGCUCCUCUUCAUUGUAGGAAUAUACCAAGAUAUCAUCAAUGAAGACCACCACAAACUUGUCCAAUUCGGUCAUGAACACCGAAUUCAUGAGAUACAUGAAGUGAGCAGGUGCAUUUGUAAGACCGAAGGACAUGACGAGAUACUCAUACAACCCGUACCUUGUCGAGAAAGCUGUCUUAGGUACAUCUUCAGGACGGAUCUUGAUCUGAUGGUACCCAGAUCGCAAAUCGAUCUUGGAGAAUACCUUGGCUUUAGACAAUUGAUCAAACAAGAUAUCAAUGCGAGGAAGAGGGUAUUUGUUCUUGAUGGUUACCGCAUUUAAGGGACGAUAGUCCACACACAUGCGCAAAGAUUGAUCCUUCUUCUUCACAAAGAUAGCCGGACAACCCCAUGGAGAAGAACUAGGACGGAUAAGACCCUUCUUCAACAACUCAUUUAGUUGGGUCUUAAGCUUAGCUAAUUCAUUGGGUGGCAUUCUAUAAGGUCUUCUAGAGAUAGGAGCGCUACCUAGAAUCAACUCAAUUUUGAACUCCACAUCCCGAUCCGGAGGAAGCCCGGGCAAAUCAUCAGGAAAUACAUCCGGGAACUCACACACCACCGGAAUGUCCUGAAUAGCCUUAGAUGUAACUGCAGUCACAGUGCUACGGAUUUGAAUAUCACGAGGGAGUUGCACUAGAAAUGCCUCCUUGGUAUUUAGGUCUUUCAACAUCACUACAUGAGUGGUGGUGUCGAUAAGAACUCCAUUGCCACUCAUCCACUUCAUCCCUAGAAUUACAUCUAUGCCCACACCAGGUAGAACAACCAAAUCAGCAAGAAACUGACGGCCUCCUAUUUCCAGAGUUGCCCCCAAUUAAGUUUCUUUCGUGGUUCCAUGGUUUUGACAUGUAACCACACCAGAAAACCACCGCGAACACUCCCCUAGACCACCGUUUGUACGAUCAUGCUCUCACAGCUCACACUUACCAGAGCGUAGGUGUGACGUUGCAUAAUUUAAAUCUAGCGACAUAUGUGGCUAAUUCACAUAUGAAGGCUACCUCCACCAUUAGACCACAGGGUAGCAUAGUGCGGUCAUCACACAUCCAUACCUGAGUACUGCCGGAGAUGCAUAAAUAAAACCCCCCAAGUCAGUACUUAAAUAGCCACCUAUAGUCCUUACGUGGGCAAGGAGGAUUCAACCACUGGCAUAACUUAAAUAUUGAUUUACACCAUUUUAUUUAAAAACUCUUUUGUUUUUUAAAUACACAAACGCUGCAUUUAUAAUGCUGAACUCGCUCCGAUACCAGCUGUCACACAACCGACCAAAUUAUAAGAGUUCAAGUGUAGAAACGAUCGACAAGCAAUCAAGUUUCCAAACUUGAGCCCAUAUAAUCCCGGUAGUCAAUUGAAAUCACGAAGGACUUCAAACCAACUUGCAACAAACCAAGAUCGUAAUAAUUUAGGACAACACAGCGAAUGUUACAUAGUCAUUCAUUGCCGUCGAAGCGGCACCACAUCUGAGUAUUAAGUUAUUACAACACUUGUUUGAAGUAGCGGAAGCAAAAUAGUUACACACACACUUUCCAAAGUUCAGUUCAUAAGUUCGGGUUACUGCCAUAGUCUACAUCAUCCUUCCAAAAGCACAGGUAUGAGGUUGUUAGAGAACCGUGCCCAACGGUUAGUCCUCAUCCCCAGCGGGAUGGAGACAGGUCUUGCAGAAGCCGUCAUAAAAGAUGUCAUCUGCAACAGGUGGGAAUAAACCCUGAGUACGAGAAUGUACUCAGCUAGACUUACCCGUCUAGUAAAAUAUAAAAGACACCAAGGAUCAUGCAAGGCUAAUAUAUAAAAGUAGAGCUGGUUGACUCGACAUUUUGCCAAAAGCCUUUAUUAUGACUAACCCAUUGUAAGAGCAUCAUAUUUAUUUAUCUUUAGCCUACUGCUAGAUUGGCACCUGUACUAAAGCACUUCACUUGAUUAUUACAAGCAAUAAUAACCAUAUCAAGUUCAUCAUAUGUUCUUCUUUGCUAUCAUCAUUAUCAUGAACCAAGUUCAUUAGUGAAUGCUAUGUUUGCCGCUGCUCUAUCAAGUUCUCACUAACCAGGAGAGACGGCGAUUCGAAUCGAAUUCCUAUCCAGCUGGAGGGUUAUUCCUAGCACUCACCCAAGCAUCCCCCGUCGGAGAGCCAACGGGUCACCUUUGGUACAACUCAGGAAUCGCGGCUCCGAUCAGCGCCGCACUCCCAGGGCUACCACUCUGCCAGGGAGGUCAGGAAUUUUAACUCACCUGCCUUUGGGCUUACGCCAAUGGUCCCCCGCACACCGCACUUCCUCCGAUAGUGCGCACAUUAUACUUGCCGGUCUUCCGGCCUGAGUCAUACUACUCGGCUUCGCGGUCGGAACGAGUUAUCCGGCCAACUAAGUGUUAGGCAUGCGUUCAACAUGACAAGAGGACGUACAACGGUCGGUCCUUAGCUGCCAUAGACGGAGUUACUACAACCUUGCAAAACUCCGCCCGGCUUAAGUCAAAUUAAUCAGGUUCCAUCCAUGAUAGCACAUAUAGACCAUCGUGAUCCGACACAACCCUAUAUCGCGCAGGUGACAGGAAAUCACCCGACUUCUACCGAUUAAGUAUGGCUAAGCUGCUACUCGAUCCUAACUCUACAACCAAGGUAGGGUAAAUUAUCUGGACAAGGAUGGAGUAAAGUGCAGCAAAGGUUUCAUCACAACUCCUAUACUUAAUGCAGCAAUAGAUAUAACUUAUUAAAUAAACUUUCGAAAGUAAGGGGAAACUUAGAAUGCUCCGGGGCUUGCCUUUCACGAACGAGGCUGGCUCGUGACUCGGGCACUCAACUUCUUCUUCGGGCUCCUCGAGUCCGACUUGCUGGACCUCCACCUCCGGGUUGCCCUCCUGGCCUUCGGGGUUCACUUGCAGUUCGAAGGAGGCUGCCACGUCUGAUGCACCUAUUGCAUGCUCGAUGAAUAAGAAGGUGUACAUGCUAAAAGAUGAAUGCUUGAUAAUAUAAUGGACGCACUGGACACUCAUUUACGGAGUAACACAGUUAUAACAAGUUCACACAAGUUAACAAGUUAACUUAGCCCAAAACCUAUCAUGAUAGCCUAUAACAGCAAGCAUCAAACAGCAGGAUUAGCUCAGUAAACAGAUCAUAACUAUUACCAAAAAGAUCCAACAAAUUUAAGUGAGGACAUUAUGGAAAGCUUAUAAAAUUGUCUACAAAUCAUCUCUAAACAUCACAGCAAGAUUCAUAUAUUAAACAAGUCAUUUAAACAAAGUUCCAGGUUCUGUCCCAGAAAAACAGAGAACACCUAUUUCUGGAACUUAACUUGGAAAGAUCAUAACUUCAAAACUACUGGACUAAAUGAUCCCAAAUUUAAACCACAGCUAGUUCAAUAAGUUUAAAACAACUUUGACUUAGACAAGUUUCCCAGAAAACCAAGUUAUCAUUAAGAAAAAGUUAAAUUACUCCCUUGCUGUCCAGAACAGCUUUUAACCCACUAAUUAAUUAUUUAAUGAUAUAGCCAAAGCAUAAACAGUGUCAACCAUAUAACUUAUAAGUACAAGCAUGUCAUAAGGUUACCAGAACACCACAUGAUAACCUCCAAAUGUUUAUUAACAAGGCAUUUAUUAAUUUUAAUUCUAGAGAGGAGCAUAAUUACAAGAUACUAGUAAAAGUGCUCAGAAAAAUCUACAAAAAUUACAGAAGCACAAGUAGGGCUCCAAGGCAUCACCAUAAAAAUUUUAGAGCAAUUGCACAUACCAAAUUAAAGAUAUGCAUUUAACAUAUGACAAGGUGUUUAUUUCAUAAAUUCAGAAACAUGACUUAUAUGAUGUCAAACAACAGAUUUCAGAUUAUUUACAUAUUAUGAAUGUCAAAAACAAGUUUACCACCUAAGUAGAACACCAGCAUAAGCACCAAUUAUUUUAUAUGAUUUAAUCAAGGAAACAAGCCAAAUCUCAAACAUAAAUCACAUAACAAAGCUGCAGUACUCCAAAAAUCAUGAAAUAUUUAUCAAAGCACUCUAGUACCACUCAGAGACUACCAUACAAUUUUUAGAGCAAACUAAGAAGUAUAACAAGAGAUAUGAAUUUAUUCAUGAAUAACAAGAUUAAAUCCUUAAUAAAUUUUUUCCCAGAAAACAUGGCUCAUUUUAUAUUUUUAUUAAAAACUAGCCAUCUAAAGGAAUACCACAAAAUUGGUUUCAUAAUUUUUGGAUCUCAUAAACAGGAGAUAUGAUUUUUGAAAGAAAGCCAAAAAUCAGGAUUUUGAAUAAAAGAAAAGGAGGGAAGGGAGGUGACACUGACAGCGGGCCCUGCAUGUCAGGUUCAUCUCCCUCACGGCCGAGGCGACUCUCGCUGGUGAUUUCUCUGUGACGGCGAGGUCUCCGGCCAAACCAAUGGCACCAUUGUGAUCCCCAGACUCUAGCGACUCGAUUAAUCCCCUUUUCCCCACGGCGGAGCCACCGGAAGGGGCUCGCCGUCGAUCAUGGCGGCUCGGCGGAGGUGCUCGGCGUUACGCCGGAGUCCUCAGGCCGGUAGAGCGUGACCUAGGGUUUCCUACAGCACCGGCGGACUACGGCGAAGCUUCCUAAGUACGCGGCUUGGCUUGAAACAUCGUGGAACACGCUGGCCACGAGAGCGCCCAUCUCCAGCGGAAACACGGCGGCGCUGCGCAUCGUGUCCGGCGACGAUGGGUUCGGUAGAGCGUCCACCGAGAGGUGCAAACGCUUGCUAGGAACGUAAGCAACCUCUAGGACCUGACCAGAGAAGACGGGCGACUUCACAGGGCUCGGCAUUGAGUUCGCCAGAAAAGAAGGUCACGGCGACCCGAUUUGGGGGAAGAAGGAAAUGGCGGCUCACCGGUGGAUUUCACGGCGAGAUGAUGGGUGGAGAAUGGAGAGUGGUUCACGGCGAAGCUUUGGGUGAAGUUUGGUAGGCAAUGGCGCAGUGAGCUCGCCGGAGUGAGCUCGCGAUGGUGAGCUCGCUGCGGGCAGGUUACAGGCGAGAGAGGGCGUGGAAGGAGAGAGUGGACGCGUCCACUGCGUCCGGGGCGUCGCCGUGGAGGUCAUGCGCGCGCUAGGAGCUGACAAGCGGGGCCAUCGCCGGCGUACGGGCACCAUCUGGCCGACAGGUGUCGCUCGGGACAUCCACGCCGGCGAGCUCGGCUUUGAUUCAGAGAAAACGAUGACAGUGUGACAGAGCGACUUUGAUGAUGAUUAUCUCCCAAACCAAAACGAAUUAGGAGAUGAUGCAGUUGACAAAGUUGGAGUUCCAAUCGAGUUCUACAACAUUGUAAACUAGAGCAAAAGCCAGAUCGGCCUGGAUUGAGAGAUAUAGAGUUUUCAAAACCGAUCAAGCAAACUGUUUUCGCUCCAGGACUUAGAAAAUUUCCUAAGUGUUGGAAACAGCCCCAAAUCUGCCUUGUGGGUCAAUUUUGAGAUAUUUGUGUGCUCAUUUUCAUAAGAUGGCCAUAAAACAACUUUUGUUCCUUAUAAAAUUUGCUACAACUUUGCUGUAGAAAGUUUUGACAUGCAAACAUUUUGUGAAACACUUUUUAAGAACCUAAGCAAAAGAGGUUUCUAGGGCCUAUUUGUAUAAGUAUGACUUAAGUGAUUAUUUUGGAGAAGUGAUCAACAUGAACAUUAUUCCCAAGGUUAAGUUAAGCAUAGAUAAACUAAUUACCAAGGCAUAGAGCACAAACACAAGCAUGGUUCACUCAAACAUAAGCAUUGGAAGCCUAUUUAAGCAAUUUAGAUCACAUUUUUGCAAAGAAUGACAUGGCUCAAGAUAGAUGAUGAUCAUGAUAUGCUUUGAGUAGAUGAUGAUGCUCAUGCUAUGCACAUGAUUAAUGCAACCAUAACACUGGGGUGUUACAGUGACCCUGAGCACGACUGAUAUAUCAGUUUUACACUCUGUAGAGGUUGUACACUUUCAUUGUGAAUCAUGAUUUACCCUUUCGCCUGAGGUCAUGAGUUUCUUAACCCCCUUCCUAGGGAGGCUGACAGGGUUCACUAUGAAGCCUUUCAAAUGUUCGUCUAACAAGUUAGGGCCGCUUGGUUUCAUUAGUCAGUCUAUGUGAUUCUACCACGCAGGGAAUCCAUGGUCUGCUAUCCCCCAUUUGCGCUACACGGGUAACCUCUAACAAGCUAUAAAAGUCCUCGAUCUAAGCUAAACCCAGAGCCAUGUAGCCCUCACAGUUGUACUGUAUGUCCCAUAUAGUCAUAUACAGAUAAGUCCUUUUGGAGAGAAACUAAAGCAACAUAUGAUAGCUCAAUGGUCUAGACCCCAUUUACCAAGUUGCUAUAAAGUCAUCUUUUAAUGGUUAUUGCAUAUUCCAUUAAUCAAAUUACAAGAUCAUGGUUUAGUGGAGCACUAGCAUAGGCUACCCAAUGCAAAACCAUAGGUGACAAGGUUUGAGAUCAAUACUUGGAAAUCCGUAACAAGGAGACACAUGCAAUAUAAAUUGCGUGUGAUUAUAGUUAUUAGGAAACAAGGAUAAUCCCAUGCUAUACUUUCCUUAAAACUCAGAUCCUUCUUUUAGUUCCAAAUCUUCCACAAACUACUUCUGGAUCAGCACGAAAAGCUCACCGUAUAAACUCAGUCACCACAUCAACAAGAAUCAUCCAAAGGCAAUCAUACAAAGCAAACAAAUAUAUGAUUAGAACAAUACCACAACCAUAAAAAAUAAAUACAAUAAGUUUCUAAAAUGAAUCUACAUUGCUCUACGAUCACACAGACAUAAAAAUCACGAAAUCGAAGGCAAAACGAAGAAGAUAUGAAUUUUCUAAGAUUUUUUUAGAAAAAUAAUUAAUUAAAUAGGGUCACAAAAUUAAAAAGUUACAAACUAGUAAAACAGUGAUACUAACCUGUAGAUCUCAUGAUUACGAAUCUAACGCAAUUUGAAUGGGUCAAAUCGGAGUUAAAACGAAUAUUUUAUGAGCAAUAUAAAACUAGUGGCAAACUUGUAAUUUUGUAAAAAUGUAUUUUGAAUCUGAGUACUGAGUUUACGUCUUCAUAAUCAGAAAGUGUAUUUGUUAACUGCGCCAAGGACCAUGGGUUUACAACUUAAGUAACUCAGGGGUUCUUUUGAAAAAAAUUAUGGCCGAAGGGGUAUCAUUCGAUUUAGGCCGUCAGAUUUCGUUCUAAUGACCGAGAUUAGAUCGGGGUGGGGAAGGAAAAUGGCCGGCCGGAGUUCGGGCCGAACCCGGCGGCACCAUGGCCGGAGUUGGCCGGCGUUGUUCGAUCCACUGAUUUAGGGCAUGAAUCGAAGAACCAAAAGCACAGAGAUGUAGAGAACCUUACCGCGAUCUCACCUAGGGCUAAAACGGUGUCAUGGGGUGGCCUGAGUGCGGCUGCAACGGAGAACGGCGGAUGGCGGUCCCGGCAGAAGUUUGGCGAGGUCAAAAGGAGCGUAGAGAGGACAAAAUCAUGAGAAAUAAGGCUUAGCGAAGUCGCAAGGAUGACAGGAAACUUAGUGGGGAACUCACGGAGGCAGAGAUGCGACAAAAAUGGGACAUCAACCUCAGCGGUGAUCUCGAUCCUUUUUGGCGGCGGCUGCAGCUCAGCUAGGGCAAGGGUCUGCGCCAGGGUUGCGGUUGGGGAGUUCGGCGAGGUCGAGGGUGCUAUUUAAGAGGCUCACGACUUGUGGGUCAAGCCAACACGCGGGAUCUGCGCGGCCGGUCCUCGAUUCGGGGUAGAUUCCGGCUUGGACAUGAGGUGGAAGAAGGUCCUGACAGGUGGGCCCCACCUGUUUGUGACUCAGGGGCGCAGGUCCCGCUCGUCAGUGGAAGAAAGAGAGGGAAGGGGUGCUGGCCCGGGGGGGCUGACUGGGCCGCGACUUCUGGGCCGCGGUGGGGAAUGAGCAGGCGGAGGGAAAAAAGAAAGGAGGACGGUGGUGUUACGGCCUUCGGGCCACAAGCCAGAGGGGGAGGGUUCUUCUCUUUUUUUUAAUUUUUUAGAGCUUACUUCAAAACCAAUUUGAAACCAGUCUCAAUUGUCUUAAAUUUUGAUUAAAUUUACACAAUACAAUAGAACAUAUGCACCAUCAUGAAUGCACAUUUUUUCUCUAUUUCCAAAAGAGCAAAAUUUAUGGUGUUACAGCAUGAAAGCAUUAUAGAGUGUUAUUCAAAUAGAGAUGAAAGAGUAUGAUUGCUAUGCAACAUUUUGAGCAUGAAUUCAAAAGGUAGAGACAACCAAUAUUAGCAACAUGAUUUAAGAUUUUUCAAAUAAGCCCAUUCCCCUAAGCUUGAAUUUUACAAAGCAAAUUUAAGAUUGGAUUCAAUAUUGCAUGAUGAUUGGUUGGACAUACCUGGUGCUGCCAUUGUUUAUUCUCUUACUUCAAACCUAAAAUGGUUAGUGACAGAAAUACCCGAGGGAAUAUUUUCAUAAUUAUAUUCCAAUCAUAGGGGCAAUAUAGCAAAAGGUGGAAACUCAUGUUAUCAAACGAUUACAACGAGAUUUAUAAUAUUUAUGAUAAACAUAUGCAUCUACAACCCCCCUUGCAAAGUUUUUAGGAAUAGGUUGGGGUUGAAAAUCUCGUGAGUGGAAAUCUUAGAGUGACCAAUGAAUCUAGGAGAUUUCUCAUGAGCAUGGCUUUGAUGGGAUGUUGAUGAAAUAAUUCCCAUGCUCAUUGAUGUGAUCUCCCUUUUCAAACUCCAUAGGUGUUUCUUUACGGGUGUCUAUAGGCAACAAAUUUGUCUCUAUUAUUUUAUGCCUAUGACGUUCAUUGGAUGUUUUAUCUUCUAGGAUUUCCCAUGAAUUGAUGUCUCUAGGAUUGGUCUCAUCUAAGGCUUUCUCUAAACUUGGGUGAGUCAUGUUUACUAAAGAAAUUGAUUUAAGCUCACCAUUUGAAUCUAGUCCAAGUUCAAAUGCUAAUACUAAGGCUUCAUCCUCUUCCAUCCAUCCUUUAACAAUGGCAUAUGAGUUUUUCAUAUGUUCCAUGCAUUCCUGCCAUUGUCAACGUUGCUCUUCUCGGUCAUUCCUAUAGUCUUCAUGACUCUUGUGCUUUGGGUAUUUUAGUGAGUUUCUAGAGUCAUUAUGAGACUUAGGAAAGGGAGCAUCAAAAGGAUCAUCAGGGUCAAUGAUGGGUUUAAAGAUAGGUGUCGGUGUUUUGACCCUCGAGGGGUAACACCAACAAGUGAAUUUGUAUGCGUGCUAUUUUUCCGGAUGGUUAUGCAAGAAUGACACAAGGGUUUAUCCUGGUUCGGGCAAAGAGAGGCCCUACAUCUAGCGGUGGGAGAGAAUGUGUAUUAUCUUGCACCUAAGUGCUUAUACAGGGGUGAAUACAAGUGGAUCCAACCGGGGGUUCUAAGUCCUAGCUGGUGGUGGUGAUGUAUGAAUCGAGUUCUACGUGUAUUUUUCUUUGCAUUGUCCCCAGCGUCCCCUUUUAUAGUUCCAAGGGGAGGCCUAGGUUACAGGGUACAGGUGUCAGAGUAGACCUCGAUAGGGGUAUGGCUCUGACCUACUCGAGGCCUCCGUGUUAGCGUGACCUUGAGCCAUCUUGUUACAGGGUACUUUGGUGAUGAUGGUGCGUGCAUUUCCUAAGCUUAUCUGUUGUAUAUCAUCGGGCAUUGGCUUGGGCAUGAGCAUGCUUGUACGUUGUGGCUGUCACCAUGUCUGGAGUGGUUGGAGCACUAACUUCCGUUGCUCAAUCCUUCCCUGGGAAGGGGCGUGCAUGCUUGUGGGUCAGGUGGCACAGCCGGCUUUGUUAUGCAGGAGCGCUGACCUUAUCAUCUCGAGAGGUGUCCUGAUUGGAGAUUACGCCUGCUGCACUGUGCAGGUUUCUACAUUUCUUUAGUCUUGAGGAUAAAGCUGUAAAAAGUAGGGAUUUGACGGGUGCAUGUUCCCCUAUCACGCUUCCCGUGACUGUCGGGUUAGCUGGGAUCAUGGCAGUCGCAUUAAAUGCCCUGGAUCAUGUACGCGUGAUAGGCGGCAGGGAACGCUUUUGCGCUCGAGGCCUGCCAAUUCGCUUGACGCCCUUUCCGUAAUCGAUGGUUGCUAGCUAUCGAGCCCUUGACCAUUCGCUCGACUGUAUUUCUAUAUUCCAGGCUUGGGUCGAUACCAUGUUCUGGGUCGAGCUGCGACUUUGGUGAACUUGUGUUUGUACUGGACCCUUGAGCUACUGUUUGAUCUUUUCAUUAUGAAUGUUUGCUGGGGUACCCCCUAUUGACACCCUCGACAGUAGCCCCAAGCCACCUUGUUUGAGCACUUGUGCUCGAGCAGGGGUUCUACCAGUUGUCAAAUUUCCAUGGGUGUCGCGUGAGCGACCCCCGCGGAGGUAGCCCCGAGGCCUUGAAGGAGUCACAGACUCCUUUGAGAUCUAUAUUGCUCUUUCGGAUCAGGGCGUUCUCGAUUUCUGUUUCUGUUGAUGGGCGUUCAUUCCGGGAGGGUGCCCCCAAGCCUUGUUUGUCAGUUUUCCCUUUUGGGGCGAGGAGCGUGAUGUACUCCUGAUGGAGCGAGCAUCAUCAUCCUAGGUGAGUUUUUAUCGGGUAAUCCAAGCGAGAACCUGUGCCCUGUACGAUGGGGUUUGCUGCAGCCCGAAGGCGUUCUCAUUAAAGCUAGGCUAGUGUGGUCGAGGAUACUGGUCUCAUUCGAUAGAGUCCAGCGGCUCGAUGCCUCCCUUGGUUGGGAUUCCUCUUCGUCCUCCUUGCCCUUGCCUUGAAUACUCCCAGCGAGUCCUCAAGGCAUGCCUCGUUUCGACCUCUCGCUGGAUGUCCCUGACUCGGCUACUCGAACACAGUCGGUGGGUUAGUCUGCGCUCCCUCGAGGAUCCAGCGGCGGUGCACACCGAACUUACUUUGCGACGGAAGGAAGGGCCAUGGUGGUUUGUUUUCCUGCCCCCUGGGUGCGUCUUUUUAGGAGGUAGCCAUUGCGGCGCUGUUCCGUUGGGCGGAAUCUGUAACAUCCCGUCAUAGAGGGAAAUGGGACCGUUAGGCAGCACAUUUAUUGCUAGAGUUACCAUGAUUGCCGGAUCCAUCCGUUGCGGCGCGCCUAUAUAUAUAUCGAGGUCUCGUUUGGCUAUUUCCCCUUCCGCAUUUUGCCAUUGCUUUCCUUCCUUCUCUCCUCGCAUCACCCUGCGCGCUAAGAUGAAAGAAAGCUCAAAGAGAGAGAUUGUUAGGGUUCCGCCGCGCCUUUUCGUGCCCCAGAAGAUGCCGGUGAGACUUAUCGCCGCUGACGAGUGGCACCCGUCAAUCGUGGCGGAGCACCAGCUGUGGGACUUGGAGAAGGAGGGGCUCCUACAACCCCUUACUUCCUCGACAUGGCCCGAGUGGAUCGCACCGCCGGCAGAGCACCAGGAGCCAAGCCCACCGGAGGGCUACGUCGUCUCCUUCAUCAAGUUCCACCGCCACGGGCUCGGGUCUCCUCCGAGCCGCUUCAUGAGGGCGCUUCUCCACCACUAUGGUGUCGAGCUCUAGCAUUUCUCCCCCAAUGCUAUCUCUGCCACGGUAAUCUAUGCCGCAGUGUGUGAAGGAUACUUGGGAGUGAUGCUACAUUGGGAUUUGUGGCUUCACCUCUUCCGGGGUAAGCUAUUCGGUGGGGCUGCUAGGGUGAGGAAGCCGGUGUGAGCCAGCUGCCUCAACCUGGUCCAGAAGACGGGGCACACGGACGAGCCUUGAGAAUACAUCCUUACUAGGAUGACGUCAAAUCACGCUAAGUGGGAUUCUCAGUGGUUCUACCUAUGCAACGACGACGGCCUCAGCGCCUAAUCAAGGAGCGCCCCGACAAGUAGAACUACGGCGUCAUCAAUACCCACCAGGCUCAGCUCCACCCCCUUCUCGAGGCCUUGAGGCAUCUGCGCGAGGUAGGCCUGACUACAGCUCUUGUCCUCUCGGCUGUCCACCAUCGACGGGUACUCUUGUUGAUGUCUCGACCGCUAAGGUUCGACGAGAUGGGUCCCUGAGUCCCGUCAUGGGACCUCGAGGCAUGCCGGAUAUCGAACGAGGCGCUCCUAGGCGAGGAGGUUGCUGCCACGGUCAGGGCGGCCAUCUCGGGCGACUUCCAGCCAGAGCAUGUGAAUACCUUCCCUGUAAAGCUUGACAAAGGCUACUAUGAUCUGGUAAGCCUCUCGAGCCAUUGCCAUUUGUCCUUUCCUUUCCGUUUCAUUGUUUCCUUUCUAAUUUUCCUAAGACUUGUAUUUGUUUUGCCAAGGGGUGAUUGAUGCUACGUCCUCAAAGCCUCCAGUGAAGGAGGAUGAUGUUGAGCGUGAGAAAAGGUGCACCACUGCCGAGAAGCACAAGUCUAUGCAAGAAGCAGAGAGGAAGAACGAUAAAAUGAUGAACCUUAGGCAACAGGUGCUCGAGGAGCCUCGAGCCAAGGCGAGGCGCGAGGGGAGGCCCGAGGAGGACUCUCCUGAUGAAGAUGAUGACGACAACGAUGACGAGGAUUCCGAGGGGAUGGUGGCCCACCUCGACUGAGUCCUGCAAAGCCCACCGCAAGUAGACGUUUCCAACGGUCCGUAUGGCAGAGACCGUGAGGGCCGCCAAAAGGAGACGUCGCCUCGCCGUCCACGUGCUGAUACGCCCCCUGCCACGACACAGGGUCAGGCCAUCCUUCCACCAUGACCUCCCCAAGCGUCCGGCCUGGGCCAUCGGGUCAAGACCUCUAGAACAAGGCCGCUGACUUGAGGCUGAGCUGCCGUGGUGGCCUCGAGCAAAGGAGGAGGGCGUCAGAGGAGUGCAAGCCCUGAGGAUCAUCAGGAGGGGAGAGCGGAGCCAUGGCCCACUCCAGUCUUGGAACAGCCAAGGGCCCCGACGCGCGGUGGCUCGAGGUCGGCCGGUCGGGGGACCGGGAGGAGGACAUUCCUUCCUGUGGGGUAAGAUCCCUUGGCCAUGACGCUGCCUUUGUCGGUUCACUAUUUAUUGGCACUAACCAGUCUGCGUCGUUUUUCCCCUGUUCAGGUUUAAGAGGUAGCUGGAGCAGGCCCAACCCUCGACAACCCAAAGGCUCAAGGUAGGGGCGAGCUCCAAGGCACCGGGUAAGUGAUUGGCUUCCUUCUUGUGUCCCUGUGUUAGUUUGCCCAGCGCAGGAAUUCUUCACGGCUGACGCGUGCUUGGGGGUGUAUGCAGCUUCUCCUGACUCAUGGCCGCCCGCUGGUGGCGACGAGAUCCUGCCUCGACCAUCGAGGGGGGCGAUGUCUCGAAAAGUGACCCACAGCCUCUCGGUUAGGGCGAAGUGCCUCGCCUCCAUGGUGUCGGGUAUUUUAAACGCAAACAGAAAAAUUCCACAAGCACACGGAUACCGAUGUAGCUUUCAUCCGGGAGUAUUCCAGAGUAUAGAUUUUCCACUGGAAACGUGAGUGUACUAAUUAAGAUUCAAGAUCGCCCAAGGAUAACUAUACAAUUAUUUUUGGUGGGAAGAGAGAAAGUUUCCUGAGAGUUCUCUAAUUGAUCUAAGAAUAAAGAAUUACUUCAAAGAUUAUUUAUUUCAGGACAUCAGAACACUAACCACAGAAAGAGACAAGAAGGGGGCUAGGAAGCUCUGACUAUGGUCCUACAAACAUCGAUCCGAACAAGGUGGAAUACGUCGACCGUUAGGGCUGUCACUACCCUAGGGCUACCACAACAAUCCGUGGGAUUGGGUGCAAUUCCAGGUAAUUGCAAGACUAAACACCACGUCUAAUCUAUUAAUUACUACUCUAUCGUUUCAAAGACUAGAGCACUUGAUGCAAGCGGGAAUCCAAUAAAUAACUUGAAUGUAAAUAAAACUAAUUAAAGAACUCAGGAAUUAUGAAUUGAAGAACUUGGAGAACGAUGAAAAACGAACCAGUUGCUGCAAAAGUACAAUGUUGAGGAAGAUCCGACAGAUCUGGCUCCUCCUCUGCUCUCAUCUUCUCUCUCCCUAUUUUCUAGAUUACAACUAGAACUAACUAGAACUAGAACUAGAACUAGAACUAGAACUAGAACUAGAACUAGAACUAGAACUAGAACUAGAACUAGAUGAACUAGAGGGAUCCUCUCUACUUUUAUGAAUAAUUGAAACCCUAGCUUUGAUUCUGUAGAAGAGGUAUGUUCUCUAGGGGCCAGGGGACCCGCUUAUAUAGCCCUUCCAAAUGAACGUGGGCCGUCGGAUCAAACCGACCUUAAUCGCAUAGUUUUCCUUGAUCCUCAAAGGCGGUGGAGCAAGAUCCGCGAGACCGGCCCUGAUUGGUCACCAGGGCAGGGCGGGCGCCCAAGGGGGGAGGGCGGGCGCCCUGCCCCCAGGCCCGCUCGGCCUUCCAUUUGUUUCCGUAGCUUCUGGAGUCUUUUAGAUGAUAGAAAAUUGCCGCACACGUUAAUAUCUCUAUGUAAACCUGACGUCUAGACCUUUCCUCCAUAUUUUGUGAUAACCCCCUGUAGAAACAGACAAACACCAAAUGGAAUUUUGUCAGAUAAAAUCCUAAGUCUAGGUGUCGGUUGCAUUUGGAUCCUUUUCCAUGAUAACUUGAUGGUUAAAUGUGAGCAUUAAGGACCGUCAGCACAUGCUCAGGAGGGAGCCCCUAAGUCGCCCAAGCUGGGGGAGAGGGCGACCCGAUCACUAUUAGUGACGAGUCCGGGGAAGGCCCGCCGUCAACAAGUGACCGCAUCCGAGACAAAGGGACUAAGAUCCAUCGCGUCGAUGGGCGGACGCUGUGGCCUACCGGGCUCUGUGCCGUCGAGGAAGAGAAGAAAAAGAAGACCGAGGCGGAGCAGAGGAGGAAGAAGGAGCAGGAAGAAGAGAGAAAGAAGAUGAAGAGGAGAAGCAGCGUCUGCUGGAGCAGCAGCGGUAGCAAGAGCUGGAGGAGCAGCUGGAGAAGCACCAGCAGCAACCACAACAGCAGCAGCGGCAGCAACAGCUGGAACAGCAACGGGAGUAGAAACCGCAGUGGCAGCAACUACAACAGCAGCAGUAGCAGCUGGGGGAGUGGCUGGAGAAACAACAACAGCAGGAGUAGCAGCAACAACUCGAGGAAGGGCUGAGGCUCGAGAUGGGGAGAUGGAGCUACCCAUCUAUGGCCCCGCGACUCCCCGAGGGGUUCCUACCAUCCCAGCCGAGCCACGUCGGAAGGACGGUGUCGUGGCGCUGGUGCUCGACAUGCGCACUCCCACGGAUCCGAGCUUGGAGAUUAAGGGGACCCUCUAUGGCAUCGAGGGUAUUGCCCCGGGCUAUUUAGGGGGUCGAUGGCCAUGGGAGGAUGUGGCUGGGAUGUCUGCUACUGGCGAGGAUGAUUGGGCCAGGACAUCUGCUAUCGGUGAGGCUGACGAGGCCAGGACCUAGGGUUCUGUUAAGGAGGACGGGCGAUUCCCUUCCCUGAUCGACCUGUUCCUGCGCCACAGAGGCUCGGUCGAGACGGUGUAGGAGCUCAUCCAGGGCGUAAAGGAGCAUACGAGGGAAGAGCUCGAGCACUGGGGCCCUAGGAGAAUCCGCCUUCGAUGUUCUACGUCUCCACAGGAGCCAAACAUCAUGAUGGACGAUCGUAAGGAGGCCGAGAAGUGGGAGCACCUCGAGGAGCUCUGACUUUGGAUGAAGCAUGUCCUGAGCCUGAUGUCUAACAUUGUCAACAAUGGUUUGGGACGGGCUUUCUUCAUAAGGACCCCUUAACUCUCGUCAUUUUGAGUUUCUCGUUACACCAGCGUGCUUAUCUCCUUGUGCUCUUUUGCAGGACGUGAAGGAGAUCUCCCGGCUGAAAUCAGGCUUCACUCAUGCGACAAGGGGUGGCUGGGAGCAGAUUCCCCUUCUCAAGGAUCAGCUCCUCGAAUCACAAGAAAAGCUUCUUAAUGUACUUAAUGAGCGUACUGCAAUCAAGGUGAAGAAAGAGAAGAAGGAGGCCGCUGUGACCGAGGCUUGGAAGGCCCUAUCUGGCAUGAACAGUAAGGCUCCCGGGUGGAGGAAGAUGCCCGUGCUGCUCAGGAGGCUGCGGAGAAGGCCAAAUGGGAAGCUGCCCAAUCAAAGGAGCAGGCUGCUUCAGCCAAAGAAGCCCAGGCUCAGGAGGAAGUAGCACGAUACAAGGGCGAGGCCAUCGAGUUGGACAAAGGGAAGAGGUUGGCAGAGUCAGACCUUGUUGCUACUCGAGGCAAUUAUGCCAGGCUGAAGGAGGAGCUCCUGAGGAGCGAGAUCACUCGGGGCGCUGUGGAAGAGCCCGAGAAGAAGGCUUGUGAGGACCUCAAGGCAGAACGAGCCCGCUCUUGCAGCCUUUCUGACAACAUCGACCGUUUGAAGAAAGCGCUGCGAGAGAAAGAAGAUGCCAUCCUACAGUCGGGCAAGUUGAUCGAGGACCUGCGGGUCGAGAGGACAGAGUUGGCCCGCUCUCAGAAGAAGAUCGAGAAAGCUAACACCAACUUGGUUGGUGAGAACAUGACUCUUCAGGAGAGGGUCCGCGGUGAGUUUUCUAUGCUCUUACGUUUACUUUGUUUUUGCAGUGCUCAUUUUCUAUCGACUGAUUCCUUAUUUCAAUUUCUGCAGGGCUUAAGGAUGAUCUGUUCGCUGCCCAGGUCGACUCCUAGUCUCUUAAGGCAUAGCUUGAGGGGGAGGUCACAUUGACCGGUCGGCUAAGGACGGCAAUCAACGACCUCUCGACCUCAUGGGAGCUCGAGGCUGCGAACGAGGUAGGGGUGGCAGCCCGAGACGAUGCUCUGGUCGACCAGCUGUGCUAUUUGGGCGCUGUUGUGAGGGACCGAGUGCGGGACGCACUUCAUACUGGGGUAAAGCGGGCUAUGGCGUUUGUCUGCUCGGGCUUCUCGUAUGUUAUGGAGGUAGUGUCCCACGGCUUUGUCACUGACAUCUCCAAGGCAGAUGCGGAGAACAAGGAGAGACUCCACGGAUUGAUCGAUGAAGUGGAGGGUCCCGGCGAGAGGCUGGCGAAGCUAUUCGAGCCAGAGGUGCUUCCUCCAUAAGCUGGCGUGGAUGCAAAAGACGAGGGUAGGGACGGUGGAAAUGAUGACCAAGGCCUAUGAGCCUAAUCUGUGUGUUUAGACCUAAUGUAAUAUCUUUAGUACUUAUUUUGAAUAGCAUUGUGGCCUAAGCGGCCUUAAAACUCAAGGUUUCUGUAAAUACUUUUUAUUUUUAUACUCGAGCUUCCUUUAUUGCUUUGCUGCCUAAGUUCGUGUACCUCGAUCGUUGUUUUAAAAACAACCUCAAUUGCCUUGAGGGUGAGGGAGUGAGUAGAGUUACCAUUGUUGGUAUUUCGUAACGCCAUCAGGAAAUGAUCCGCAAGUGCACGGAUAUCGGUGAGCAUUUCACCCGGGAGGUUAUCUAGAGUAUCGUAUUUAUAUUUUUACCACUGGGAGAAAGCGUGCAUCUGACUAACUAAAUCUAUUGCUACUACCCUUUAGGCUACAAAGAAUGUUUCUUGAUGUGAGCGAUGUAUAGAGAAGACUGCAACCGUAGUCUCGUUCUAACCUUGGUAAGGAUUAUCUACUAUUCUAUUGGGGAAGCUUACGGAAUCUAGGCACCACAAAGGAUGUUCGACCUGCACCUAUAAACCCUACCCGUCUUGCUAACGAGAUGUGGGCUGCAAAGGUAACUCGGAAAUGUCAUGUUCCUCGCUACUACCACGGUCCAGCUAAUCAGGGGAUAUCUAUGAGUACCCUAGCCCGAACACCACAUUUACACUAGCAAUGUUUACUCUAAACUCAACCAGAAGAGAUUAAAGUAAACUCAUAAACCAAAGAACAUAGGAGCAAGCCUCGGGUUAGGAGAACUUGAUCCCGCAACUACAACCUCGGAGUAGACACCGACAGGCUGGGUUUCCUCCGAUCUACACCUCCACUCUAUCUCUCUCAAUCUAGUCGAACUUAGAAGAACUAAUUCUACUCUCACAUUGGAUGCUAAGCCCUAAGUCUAUUUAGAGGAGAGGUUUUCCUUCGAGGGCUCCUCUCAACUCUAUGAUGAACUUGUAUAGUCCCCUUAAGUGAAUCUGGGCCGUCGGAUCAAACCGACAUUGAUUGAACGGUUAUCCGUGAUCCUUUAGGUCGGUGGAGCACGAUCCGCGAGUUUGGACGUGAUUGGCAGAACUCCAGGGCGGGCACCCUCAGCGUAAUCCCCGAAGAGAGUCCUGAUUGGACUCUAGGUCAGGGCGGGCGCCCAAGGGGGCAGGGCGGGCGCCCUGCCCCCUGGCCCGAUCGCCUUCCCAUUCGUUCCCGUGGCUUCUGGAGUCUUCUCGAUGAUAGAAAAUUGCGCGGCAUGUUAAUAUCUCUAUGUAAACCCGACGUGUGGGGCUUUGUUACAUAUUUCCUGAUAACCCCCUACAGAAAUAGACAAACACCAAAACUCGUGGAAUUCUAUCAGAUAAAACCCUAAGUCUGGGUGUUGGUUGCAUUUGGAUCCUUUUCUUUAUUUAUUUGAUGAUUAUAUUUGGUACUUAAGGACCGUCAACAAACUCCCCCAAGCUUACCUCUUGCUCGUCCCUGAGCAAGGAUGUACUAAAGAGUUUCUACAGUGGUUUCAUGCCUUAAACGUGCACAUGCGUUCAAGCAAGAUCUCAUCUCUGAGUUAGAGUAAACUUGUUAAAACUUAAAACUUACUCAUUUUACCUUUCACCAUGGGGCUUGCAACCGUCACUUGUGUCUUGAGUAGUUAAAAGAUAGAACGGUCAAGUCACCAUGCCUCUUGUUCUUUGAAUAACUAUUUCACUAGAGUUUUUGCAGAUUUUGAAAUAAAACUCAGAGAUUCCUUAUAUGAUUCUCUCUAAUCUCUCUUUUGUGGUAUUUCUGGAUCUUUUCCAAGGCAGUGAUGGUAUAUGCCCUCUCUCAAAGUAUGUGGUAUUUUUGGUAUGAGACAUAGUGAUAUUGCCUUCUCUCUCACCCUACUCUAAUAAGGUUUUGAUAUCUGGAGCUCAUAGGUCGGAGACAGAUAAUACAUACUUACAAGACAUUUAUUGCAUAGUCAAACCAUGGAUCUAGAAGGACAAGUCAAUAAGUCAAAUCAAGAUGUGCAUGUGUGGCGAGUGAAUGGUGUAUGGUGAUGCUGGUGAUAAUAAUGGUGAAAGUCUAAUUCUACUUUUUCUCUUUUUAGGGGAUACAUACCUUUCUUCCACUCUGAAGCUUUUUGAGGAGAAUAAGAUGCUCUAUAUUUUCUUUUUCUUUUUCUCUCAGGUGGGUAUCUUGUACCCCUAAUUCUACUGUCGGACACUUGUCCAUUUUUACCUCUCGUCUCACUUUUUCUUUUCUUCGAGGUUCCGGUCACUUGCCCCUUUUUAUUUCCUCGUAUUUUUCCUCUUUUCUUUUUUAGAGCACUCAUCUCCUUAAAUAAUAUAGCAAGUGGUAGUAACCAAGAUAACUCGAGCAUUUAUUUCAUAGGGAAUAACAGGGAUAGGAAAAUAUUUUUGGCUAUUCUCUCCCGGAUUAGGAGUAGAAUAAAUUCGGGUGAAUGUGGAGAUGGAAAUGAGUGGAUAUAUGUGGAUGGUACUUCCGGAGUAGAAGUAGCAUGUAUGAGUGAACAUGCAAGUGAAUCUUGAUUUUAACCACAUGACAAGCUCCUAAGGGUCUACACAGCUUGACCACACUCAAUGCUCAUAAGCAGUAAAAAGUAAAUAUGUGGCUCAAAGUCUAGCAAGCAUGUAUAUAUGGCUGUGGUAGGAAUUUAAACUCUCAUCAUAUAGGAACUCAUCAUAUGUUAUUUUAAAGAUUUUUCAAAGAUAAAAUUCUCCAGAAUUCUAGCAUCUCUAGGAACAGAUAAACAGCAGCUCAACCUUCCCAUAUCAUAUCCGUUAACGACUUAGACUUUAGAUCAAGUACUCUUCCCACAAGUUCAGGUUUAGAGCAAAUUUUAAAUUAUAACAGUUAUGUCUAAACUUGAGAGAGAUUUCAAUUUUAAGAACUAGUCAUGGCAGAGCAACUAUUCAUCAUUUCCAUGUGAGAGCUUAUCAUGAGGGUUUAUAGCAAACUUUAUUUUUUUAUUUAUUUAGCAAACUAAGCAAAGAUAUAUAUAAAAGCACAAAAUCUUUAUUUGGGUUUUUAUAAUUAUGCAUCUCUUUAUUAUUUGAGUAAAGUAUAAACGCGAGUAGAAACACUUAGCUGGAUAAAUGGGGGUGCUCUCCCCCAAGCUGGAUUUUGACGUAAUUUCUUCUGAUGUAGCUAGCAGGUGGCAGAGGUGUAUUUGAAUGUCAGCAGCAUUCUGACAGCGAUUAGAAUGUCCUCCGUCUGCUAGUCUUCUUGAUUCUUAAAUUCUGUAGAGCUCAAAUAGACAACAAAGCUUUGUGGAACUGGUUAAGUGUUAGCAUAAAUAUCUAGCCUUUAUCAUGUUGAGCCUCCUCAAUAAAUAUUACUUAUUUAGCAGGAUCAUGCACUUAUUAUUUUUAUAUUUUUAUUGUAAGAUGAAAACUUAUUUAUUUUAUUUUUAUGCCACCACAGUGAAUGUACUUAUGGGGUUUAUGCCAUGAGCAUACUCACAUGGGGCUUACUAUUUUUUUUAACAUUUUUAUUUUCUUUUCAAGAUAGCAUGAACCUGAUUAACUAAGCAAACUAUUGAAUGGAAAAGGAUAACUACCAAGUUUACCUCUUGGCAAGGCGUUCGGUAUUUUUAAGUCCUCCGAACGGGACUCUCCGUUUUCUUAGUCGUCCUGGGAUUUGCUGGGUGGCGUAGUCGGUGGUUUCGGCGGCGCCUCCUCUUCGUGUAUAACUAUCUUCUGUUUCCACACCUGACUCGGUGCUACGGUCUCCUCAGGACAGUUCUGUUCAAGUUGUAUGUCUUCAGUCCUUAUCACUUCUCCUUCGUAAUCUACCCAUCCGUCCUUGAUGAUUUGCCUCCUCUGGUUGCGGUUGCGUUGUCUUCUUCUUGUCCUGACCUACUUAGAAUCUUCAACUAUAUAGUUAGAAUCAUUAAAGUAGUGGCGUACCUUUUCAGAGGGGAUGUGCAUGUGGACUUCUCUGGUUCCAAUGUAGAUGAUUGCUUUGAUAGUGUUGAGGAACGGUCUUCCAGGGAUGAUGGGUGGAUCGUACUCGUCUUCUCUCAUGUCAAUGACCUAAAAAUCAUUUGGAGCUGAAUGUAUCUUGGUUGUAGGGGCAUGGUUCCAUGCAGGAGCUGAUAAGUGACUGUGGCCAUUAUGUUGUCGUCAGAUCCGGUGUCGUAGAGUGUCUUCUGAAAAGAGUAUCCGUUGAUUGUGCACUCGACGCUUGGAACACCAGGGUCGUCCUUCUUGAUCAGGAAAGGCGACUUGAGUCGACGAUCUUGACCUCCUCUGACAAGGAUCCAAUGUUCUAAGUCUUGUGGACAAGACAUUCUCACCGUGUUCAUUCUUUAGGUGCAUCAUUUAAUUAGGUGUGGGUCUUGACACCUGCACCUCUUGAUAUAGUGUCACCUAUGUUCUUCGUUUGCCCAGCAGUUCGAAGUGCAGUGUUGGCAAUAUCUUGCUUAGUGUGUUUGUGCUCGUAGAUCCAGGUCCUUCACUUGGUAGAGUCUGGGAGUUGUGAAACUCCUCCAUGUUUUGCUUGAAGUGUACCUGCUCAUAGAGACAAGGCAGAGAUCAAGUGCAUGGGCCCUGUUGGUGGAAAGCACCAACAGAACCAAAAGUGUAUUUAACCUUAAGCAUAGUGAGCAAGACAAAGUUGAUGGAUCAUGAGUGUAGCAUUUGUUAGAUCAGAUGGCUCAACCUAACGGAAAGAUAAUCUAUCUAUAUUUAUGUUUUUUUUCUUUAUAUCUUCCCAAAGAUUGAAUAUGCAACAUUUUAGCUUAAAUGAUUGGGAGUGUGGGAUCAUGAAGGUAGUACUAAGAACAAAGAUUAAAGGACUAAACAUGUUGAAUUAAUUGGGUUGGUUAAUUUGGAGUUAUAAAUCAUACAUGUUUGUCCCUUUAUUUAUGUGAGUGCUAGAACCAAGGAGAACUUAUAAAAGUGAUAAUCAAGUAUUUUAAGAUGUUAUUGAAGAGUGAUGGUAUAGUAUCACCUUGUGCAUCGUGUUUGUGGCACCCUCCAUGAAUCAUCUCUUAUGAGCUACGUCUUUCUUGUGCAAAUUGUUAAACUUCAUGUGUCACUUUCUUCAUCUCCAAUGUGAGUUUAUCUUAGGACUUCCCAGGUUGAUAUUGAAAGUUCUCCUGCAGGGGUUAGUCCCACAAAAUAUACCAAUAUCUACUCAAGCAGUUUUUAGUUCAGUAACCAAACUAGACUCCAUGUCUAAUCAGAUUAAGGAAGGUUAUUUAACCUAAGCACCGCACUUAAUUUAAAUGCCAUUGGAAGUGUGUCCAGUACUUCCAAACUAACACUUACUAGGAUAAACAAAGGUAGCAUGAUGGCUUUUAUAUAGAUCUACUCAAGUGGAGAUGAAGUAGUGUGAUUAGUAUUAACAAAUUGAGCAUGUCUCAAAGGUAAGGACAACCAACAUAGCAGCAUGGCAAAGGAUGUUUUAUGUAAAGUACUCCCCCAAGCUUGAAUUUUGCAAAAUUCAAGAUUGGAUGAAUUUAAUUUAAUGUUGCAUGAUGAUUGGUUGGGCAUACCUUGCGCUUGUCAUUCAUCCGAUCUUCUUGUUCCAAUCCUGGAAAGGUUAGUGGCAAGAAUACUCGAAGGAAUAUUUCUAUAAUUAUCUCAAUAUGCUAAAUACACAAGGCAAUGUUGCAAAUAAUUAGAAGUUCAUGUUACGAUCUGAUAAGUUCUUGCUAAGCUUAUCCUUGGGAAACCAUCAAGUUAUGUUGGUGAAGUGGUUUCCCCUCCAACACCUACCUAUAUCAAGAUCAACUCAACGAGAUCUACAAUAUUUAUUAUAGACAUAUGCAUCGACAACAGCCCUUUUAAAGAUUUUAUAAAUAGAAAGGAAGAGGGGAUUGGAGAUCUCAAAUGUGGUAAGGAUGAAGAGACCAAUUGAUUGGAGAGAUGUUUUAUAUGAGCAAGGACUUGGUAAGGUAUUUAUGAAAUAACUUCCAUGCUCACUGUUGUUUCUCUCAUUCUCAAACUCCAAGGAUGAUUCUUCAUGAAUGCUUAAAAUUCCUCUAGGGUUGUCUCUCAAGUUUGUUUUAUCUAUCCAUUCAAUGGUGAUAGCACAUGGAUUUUUAAUGCCCUCUAGCCAUUGAUGUUGCUCUUCUUGAUCCUCCUUCUUAUGCAUGGGAUGUCUAGAGAGAUUCAUAGGAUUAUCGGGAGGUUUAAGAGAAAGAGGAUAGUAGAAUUUAUUAAGCUCAAGGAUGGGUUGGAUAGCCGAAUUAUGGGAUUGAAAUGUUUGGAAAUCGGCUAUUGAAACUUCCUUUCCUUGUUUGGGAUAUGAUUCCUUCUCUAUUUCUAAGAUUUUUCUAUGAAGACUAGUACAAGAAGGAUGUCCAUGAAUGAAGACAUGCCUUCCUUUACUAAUAGAUAAAGAAAGAAGGACUCUACCAAAGGUUAUAUGAUUAAGGCCAAUGUGAAAAUAUUCAGGAAACACAUGGUCUUGUAGGGCUAGGUCUAAACUAGAAUUUAUAGAAAGAUUAAAAGAUUACCUAGGUGUAGCUGAAAGUGCAUUAUCUUCUUGAUUAAAAGAUAGGACCUCGGCUAUAGAAAAGGGUUGGUUUUGACCUAUUGCAAUCAACUCCGGACACAGAUCAUAAUUAGGGGCAGGACGUGUUGACUCCCAUGGGCUAUGGCUGGUCUCCGAAGGUGCAAAGAAUUUAAUAAUAGGUAUGGAAUUUGAGUUAUCCAUAAAGAUAAAAAUAAAAAGAUAAAAUAAUAAAAGUAUAAAAGUAUAAUACAAGAUAAUAGCAAGACUCAAAGUUAUCUCAGCAAACCGUCUUUCUCCCCGGCAACGGCGCCAGAAAUGCUUGUUGAUAUUUGGUAACGCAAUCAGGAAAUGAUCCGCAAGCGCACGGAUAUCGGUGAGCAUUUCACCUGGGAGGUUAUCCAGAGUUAUCGUAUUUAUAUUUUUACCACUGGGAGAAAGGGUGCAUCUGACUAACCAAAUCUAUUGCUACUAUCCCUUUAGGCUACAAAGAAUGUCUCUCGAUGUGAGUGAUGUAUAGAGAAGACUGCAACCGUAGUCUCGUUCUAACCUUGGUAAGGAUGAUCUACUAUUCUAUUGGGGAGGCUCACGGAAUCUAGACAACACAAAGGAUGUUCGACCCGCACCUAUAAACCUACCCGUCCUGCUAAUAAGAUAUGGGAUACAAAGGUAACUCGGAAAUGUCACGUUCCUCGCUACUACCAUGGUCCAGCUAGUCAGGGGAUAUCGAUGAGUACCCUAGCCUAAACACCACGUUUACGCUAGCAAGUGAUUACUCUAAUACUCAACCGAAAGAGGAUUAAAGUAAACUCAUAAACCAAAGAACAAUAAAACAAGAACUUACUAGUAUUAGAAGUCGAAUUACUGAAGAAUCUUAGAUGCAAGCCUCGGGUUAGGAGACUUGAUCCCGUAGGUACAACUCGGAGUAGACACCGACAGGCCGGCCUUCCUCCGAUCUACACCUCCACUCUAUCUCUCUCAAUCUAGUAGAAACUAGAAGAUCUAUUUCUACUUAACAUUGGUUGCUAAGCCUAAAAAGAAAUAUUAUUUAGAGAAGAGGUUUUCCUUCGAGGGCACCCCUCAAUCUCUAUGAUAAUUUCUUGUCUUCUCCAGGGGCCAGGGGGGUCUCCUUAUAUAGUCCUCCCCUUUUAUGAGUUUUUGGGUCAGUAGGCGAGGUGGUACUACGUUAUCCUGAAUCCAAUAGGUCGGUGGAGAUCUCCCGAGAGAAAGUGUCCUGAUUGGGCUCGGCAGGUGGGCGGGCGCCCAAGGAAACUGGGCGGGCGCCCAGGUCCUGGCCCCGUUUCGCCUCCGCUUUGGUCUCGUGGCUUCUGGAGUUUUCUAGAUGGUAGAAAAUUGCGCGGUGCAUUGAUAUCUCUAUGUAAUCCUGACAUGUGGGCUUUUCUUCCUUAUUUCCUGAUAACCCCCUGCAGAAAUAGACAAACACCAAAACUCGUGGAAUUCUGUCAGAUAAAACCCUAAGUCUAGAUGUUGAUUUCAUUUGGAUCCUUUUCUUUAUUUAUUUGAUAAUUAAAUUUGAUACUUAAGGACCGUCAACAAGGGGUAUAAGAUACCCACCUGAGAGAAAAGAAAAAGAAAAUAUAGAGCAUCUCAUUCUCCCCAAAAGUUUCAAAAGAGCAAGAAAGGUAUGUAUCCCCUCAAAAGAGCACAAGUAGAAUUAGACUUUCACCAUUGUUAUCACUAUCAUUACCAUACACCAUUCAUUCGCCACACAUGCACAUCUUGAUUUGACUUAUUGACAUGUUCUUUUUGGAUCCAUGGUUGGACUAUGCAAUAAAUGUCUUGUAAGUAUGUAUUAGCUGUCUCCCACCUAUGAGCUCCAGAUAUAUAGCCUUGCAAUGCCACUAUGCCUUAUACCACAAAUACCACAUACUUUGAGAGAAGGCAUAUAUCAUUACUGCCUUGGUAUGGAUCCAGAAAUACUACAGAAGAGAGACUAGAGAGAGUCAUACAAGGAAUUUUUGAGUUUUAUUUGAAAAUUUGCAAACACUCCAAAGCUAUAGUUAAUCGAAGAACAAGAGACAUGGCGCCUGACUAGACCGUUCUAUCUUUUAACUGCUCAAGACACAAGUGACGGUUGCAAGCCCCAUGGUGGAAGGUACAAUGGGUAAGUUUAAAUCUUAACUGUUUACCCUAACCCAGAGAUGAGAUCUUGUUUGAACGCAUGUAUAUCUUUAAGGCAUAAAACCACUUUAGAAACUCUUAAGUCCAUCUUUGCUCACGGACAAGCAAAGGUUAAGCUUGGGGGAGCUUGUUGAUGGUCCUUAAUGCUCACAUUUAACCAUCAACUAAUCAUAGAAAAGGAUCCAAAUGCAGCCAACACCUAGACUUAGGGUUUUAUCUUACAGAAUUCCACGAGUUUUAGUGUUUGUCUAUUUCUGCAGAGGGUUAUCAGAAAAUAUGGAGGAAAGGCCCACACGUCGGGUUUACAUAGAGAUAUUAACGUGCCGCGCAAUUUUCUAUCAUCUAGAAGACUCCAGAAGCCACGGGACCGAAGCGGAGGCCGAGAGGGCUCAGGGAUAGGGCGCCCGCCCAAGUCCUUAGGGUGCCUGCCCUGGAGUUCUGCCAAUCACGUCCAAACUCGCGGAUCGUGCUCCACCGACCUAAAGCAUCAAGGAUAACCAUUCAAUCAAUGUUGAUUUGAUCCAACGGCCCAUAUUCACUUGAAGGGACUAUAAAACCAGACCCCCUGACCCCUGGAGAUCAUACCUCUUCUACAGAAUCAAAGCUAGGGUUUCAAUUCUUCAUCCAAGUAGAGAGGAUCCCUCUAGUUCUUCUAGUUCUACCUCUAGUUCAUCUAGAUCUAGUUCUAGUUCAUCUAGUUCUAGUUCUAGUUCCUCUAGUUCUAGUUCUAGUUAGUUCUAGUUGUAAUCUAGAAAAUAGGGACAGAGAAGAGGAGAGCGGAGGAGGAGCCGGAUCUGUCGGAUCUUCCUCAACAUUGUACUUUUGCAGCAACUGGUUCGUUCUUCAUCGUUCUCUAGGUUCUUCAAUUCAUAAUUCCUAAGUUUUUUAAUUACUUUUAUCUACAUUCAAGUUAUUUAUUGGGUUCCCGCUUGCAUCUAGUGCUCUAGUCUUUAUAACGCUAGAGUAGUAAUUAAUAUAUUAGACGUAGUGUUUAGUCUUGAAAUUACCUGGAACUGCACCCAAUCCUACGGACUGUUGUGGUAGCAUUAGGGUAGUGACAGCCCUAACGGUCGACGUAUUCCACCUCGUUCGGAUUGGUGUUUGUAGGACCGUAGUCAGACCUUCCUAGCCCCCUUCUCAUCUCUUUCUGUGGUUAGUGCUCUGAUGUCCCGAUAUAAAUAAUCUUGAAGUAAUUCUUGAUUCUUAGAUCAACUACAGAACUCUCAGGAAACUUCUUCUCUUCCUACCAAAAAUAAUUAUAUAGUUAUCCUUGGGCGAUCUUGGAACUUAAUUAGUACACUCACGUUCUCUGUGGAAAAUCGAUACUCUCGAAUACUCCCGGGUGAAGGCUACAUCGGUAUCCGUGCGCUUGCGGAUUUUUCUGUUUGCGUUUAAAAUACCCAACAAUAACUAUCUUCUCUUCCUGACUCGGUGCUAUGGUCUCCUCAGGACAGUUCUGUUCAAGCUGUAUGUCUUCAGACCUUACCACCUCUCCUUUGUAGUCUGCCCAUCCGUCCUUGAUGAUUUGCCUCCUCUGGUUGCGUCGUCUUCUUCUUGUCCUGACCUGCUUAGAGUCUUCAACUAUAUAGUUAAGGUUAGUAAAAUAGCGGCGUACCUUCUUAGAGGGGAAGUGCAUGUGGACUUCUCCGGUUCCAAUAUAGAUGAUGGCUUUGAUAGUGUUGAGGA